AUUUUCAUCAUAAGCAUUCAUCUUCUAAUGAACUCCGUUGUUAUGAUGAAGUCCUUAGGACUAUUUAGAUUCGAUAAAGAGAGGAUUUAUCGAUUAGUCCUUAAAACUGUUCACGACCAAAUGAUAGGCUGUUAAUAAGGACGACAGCUUCUAUCGAGCAUAGAUCGCUGUAGGCCAUAUGGGUUGGUUGUCCUCUUAACCAAGGAGUGUGGAGACACUGGUAUGACAUACAGGUG
This 236-nucleotide long non-coding RNA is filed under the name Elaeis guineensis (African oil palm). RNAcentral's name for it is "long non-coding RNA (EGUI_LNC057259)". Lineage: Eukaryota; Viridiplantae; Streptophyta; Magnoliopsida; Arecales; Arecaceae. The record is from RNAcentral.